RNAcentral lists this ribosomal RNA (253 nucleotides) under uncultured bacterium. RNAcentral describes it as "partial 16S ribosomal RNA". It matches the Rfam family "Bacterial small subunit ribosomal RNA", at positions 524 to 776 of the family's 1533-position model. The record is from RNAcentral.
UACGAGGGGGGCAAAUGUUGUUCGGAAUCACUGGGCGUAAAGGGCGCGUAGGCGGCCGCUCAAGUCGGGGGUGAAAUCUUUCAGCUUAACUGGAAAAUAGCCUCCGAUACUGGGCGGCUCGAGGGAGAUAGGGGUGCGCGGAACUUCCGGUGGAGCGGUGAAAUGCGUAGAUAUCGGAAGGAACGCCGGUGGCGAAAGCGGCGCACUGGAUCUCCACUGACGCUGAGGCGCGAAAGCCAGGGGAGCAAACGGG